GCGAGUGAAGCGGGAAGAGCUCAAAUUUGUAAUCUGGCACUUUCAGUGUCCGAGUUGUAAUCUCUAGAAGUGUUUUCCGUGCCAUAUCGCAUAUAAGUCUGUUGGAACACAGCGUCACAGUGGUGAGAACCCCGUAUUUGAUGCGAAUGUUGGUGCUCUGUGAUACACUUUCAAAGAGUCGAGUUGUUUGGGAAUGCAGCUCAAAAUGGGUGGUAAAUUCCAUCUAAAGCUAAAUAUUGGCGAGAGACCGAUAGCGAACAAGUACCGUGAGGGAAAGAUGAAAAGCACUUUGGAAAGAGAGUUAAAAGUACGUGAAAUUGUUGGAAGGGAAACGCUUGCAGUCAGACUUGCUUUAUGGGUUCGCUCAUUUGGCAGGCCAGCAUCAGUUUUCGUUGGUAAAAAAGGGUAUUGAGAACGUGGCAACCUCGGUUGUGUUAUAGCUCUUUACUGGAUUUACCUUUGGGGACUGAGGAACGCAGUGUGCUUUUAGCGAGGGUUUCGACCCUUUCACACUUAGGAUGCUGGUAUAAUGGCUGUAAACGACCC
Molecule: ribosomal RNA, 546 nt
Filed under: Microbotryomycetes sp. GA10M01
Lineage: Eukaryota; Fungi; Basidiomycota; Microbotryomycetes
Description: eukaryotic LSU rRNA
Rfam family: Eukaryotic large subunit ribosomal RNA
Source: RNAcentral